Dreissena polymorpha is the source of this 806-nucleotide long non-coding RNA. RefSeq lists it as uncharacterized. The record is from RefSeq and is a predicted model, not a curated record. NCBI's taxonomy places the organism in Eukaryota, Metazoa, Mollusca, Bivalvia, Myida, Dreissenidae. The transcript has 2 exons.
CUCCGCGUGCCGUGAACCGGGCAACGGCUUUUGUCAUUUAACAUUGGUGUUAUAAUGGCAUAAGCCGGCAGAUACCCUUUAACUAUAACAAUGUUUUCCGAUAAUUUCUUGGAAAAUAUCAUAUAGCAAUUUUUAUUUAAUGUAGAUUAGUAAAUGUUAUAUUUAUGCCCCCUUCGAAGAAAAGGGGGGUAUAUUGUUUUGCACAUGUCGGUGGGUCCAUCCGUCCAUCCGUCCACCAGAUGGUUUCCGGAUGAAAACUCAAGAACGCUUAGGCCUAGUAUUAUGAAACUUCAUGGGUACAUUGGUCAUGACUGGAAGAUGACCCCUAUUGAUUUUCAGGUCAAAGGUCAAGGUCACAGGAACUCGAAAUAGUAAAAUGGUUUCCGGAUGAUAACUCAAGAAUGCUUUGGCCUAGGAUCAUGAAACUUCAUAGGUACAUUGAUCAUGACUGGCAGAUGACCCCUAUGGAUUUUCAGGUCACUAGGUCAAAGGUCAAGGUCACAGUGACUCGAAACAGUAAAAAGGUUUCUGGAUGAUAACUCAAGAAUGCUUACGCAUAGAAUCAUGAAACUUCAUAGGUACAUUGAUUAUGACUGGCAGAUGACUGCUAUUAAUUGUCAGGUCACUAGGUCAAAGGUCAAGGUCACAGUGACAAAAAACGUAUUCACACAAUGGCUGCCACUACAACUGACAGCCCAUAUGGGGGGAAUGCAUGUUUUACAAACAGCCCUUGUUCUGUGUUAAAAUGUAUGUACACGUCUGCGUUAAAUAAAUAUGUUCACAUUUGAAAUAAAGCUAAAAAGGUG